Long non-coding RNA from Armigeres subalbatus, 626 nucleotides. RefSeq lists it as uncharacterized. The record is from RefSeq and is a predicted model, not a curated record. The transcript has 4 exons. Lineage: Eukaryota; Metazoa; Arthropoda; Insecta; Diptera; Culicidae.
CAAAAACGGAUGCACCAAUCAGUGACACCCACGCACUAACACUAUGGAUACUUCUACCCCGGGGCAACGAUUUCGUAUCCAUUCAUGACGAUUGAAAUGUGAAGGAUAGAUCCGCGGCUGAAAAUAUUCCUAAGGAUUUGCCUUUUAAAUCCGACACCUCUUAAGAACUGGUGCCAAGUUUCCGCAUAAUAACACAGGGUGUGUACUGCGGUCCCAGUUUAGCAUUGAACUGGUCUCCUGCUGACGACUGACGGAAACUCCGUUUAAACACUCGUUGACCCACAACGAAGGUUGCGAUUGUGGUUAUGUUUGCAGCCAGCAUGGCUGUUCUGCAGUCCACCCUGGUAUUCCGGAAUAGUACAUCGAACUUCCUGUCCUCAUCCCACUGUCUGGACAUGCUGCGGAAGAUUCGGACCAUAUCCAAAUAAAAAUCCUGGAAUUUUUCCCGAGGACCUUGCCUCCGCGCAUUAGCUAGGCGUUCAUACUGAUAAUCAAUGUCUACAGAUUUCAUCACCGUACGCAAGACUCUCUCUAAUUUGCUGCGUGAUUCAUCCUUCCUGGCGAUAUCCCGAAUCAGUAAUUCAUGACACAGCUCUUCAUCGUCAAGAUGGGCAAAAUUCAACGAG